Molecule: ribosomal RNA, 305 nt
Filed under: uncultured bacterium
Lineage: Bacteria
Description: bacterial SSU rRNA
Rfam family: Bacterial small subunit ribosomal RNA
Source: RNAcentral
UUUGCCCUACGGGACGCAGCAGUGAGGAAUAUUGGUCAAUGGUCGGGAGACUGAACCAGCCAAGCCGCGUGAGGGAAGACGGUCCUAUGGAUUGUAAACCUCUUUAGGCGGGGAGCAAUGCCGGGCACGCGUGCCCGGAGGGAGAGUACCCGCAGAAUAAGCAUCGGCUAACUCCGUGCCAGCAGCCGCGGUAAUACGGAGGAUGCGAGCGUUAUCCGGAUUUAUUGGGUUUAAAGGGUGCGCAGGCGGAAGAUCAAGUCAGCGGUAAAAUUGAGAGGCUAAACCUCUUCGAGCCGUUGAAACUG